This is a small nucleolar RNA of Pseudoliparis swirei, 87 nucleotides long. RefSeq annotates it as small nucleolar SNORD12/SNORD106. The transcript has a single exon. Lineage: Eukaryota; Metazoa; Chordata; Actinopteri; Perciformes; Liparidae. The record is from RefSeq and is a predicted model, not a curated record.
GUGGUUAAUGAUGCACACUUUUUUCCCCGUCUUAUCGACCAUGGUGAGAAACAGUAAAUAAACUAAGCCAGUUUUGUCUGAAACCAC